GAUGAACGCUGGCGGCGUGCUUAACACAUGCAAGUCGAACGGAGAAAGGGUAGCUUGCUAUCUUUUCUUAGUGGCGGACGGGUGAGUAACGCGUGGGUAACCUGCCCUUUGCAGGGGGAUAACAGUGAGAAAUCACUGCUAAUACCGCAUACCAACUUCUUUCGCAUGAAAGAAGUUUGAAAGAUUUAUCGGCAAAGGAUGGACCCGCGUUGGAUUAGCUAGUUGGUGAGAUAACAGCCCACCAAGGCAACGAUCCAUAGCCGGCCUGAGAGGGUGAACGGCCACACUGGGACUGAGACACGGCCCAGACUCCUACGGGAGGCAGCAGUGGGGAAUAUUGCACAAUGGGCGAAAGCCUGAUGCAGCGACGCCGCGUGAAGGAUGAAGGUCUUCGGGAUUGUAAAACUUCUAUCAGCAGGGAAGAAAGGGCCUAUGGCCUAUGACGGUACCUGACUAAGAAGCCCCGGCUAACUACGUGCCAGCAGCCGCGGUAAUAGU
Molecule: ribosomal RNA, 498 nt
Filed under: uncultured bacterium
Lineage: Bacteria
Description: bacterial SSU rRNA
Rfam family: Bacterial small subunit ribosomal RNA
Source: RNAcentral